Molecule: long non-coding RNA, 239 nt
Organism: Anguilla rostrata (American eel)
Lineage: Eukaryota; Metazoa; Chordata; Actinopteri; Anguilliformes; Anguillidae
Exons: 2
Source: RefSeq, a predicted model, not a curated record
CAACUACAUCCAAGGAAAACCUCAGCAGUACUACAUGUUGAGCACCAACACAAUCGAACCACAUCUCUAGCCUUAAUGCUGGGAGGAAAGUGCUGCUGGGGGGGGGGGGGUUUACAAAACCUGGAUGGUUACGAGUCACUGUGCCUAGCAAGAUUGUGAUUUUUUUUUUUUUUUUUAAACCCCAUUAGUUACACCAUGCAAAACACUGUCACUGGUUUAAAUGCCCUUGUAUGAAUAGU